Molecule: ribosomal RNA, 465 nt
Filed under: Vreelandella stevensii
Lineage: Bacteria; Pseudomonadati; Pseudomonadota; Gammaproteobacteria; Oceanospirillales; Halomonadaceae
Description: partial 16S ribosomal RNA
Rfam family: Bacterial small subunit ribosomal RNA
Source: RNAcentral
CCUACGGGGGGCUGCAGUGGGGAAUAUUGGACAAUGGGCGAAAGCCUGAUCCAGCCAUGCCGCGUGUGUGAAGAAGGCCUUCGGGUUGUAAAGCACUUUCAGUGGGGAAGAAAGCCUUGGGGCUAAUACCCUCGAGGAAGGACAUCACCCACAGAAGAAGCACCGGCUAACUCCGUGCCAGCAGCCGCGGUAAUACGGAGGGUGCGAGCGUUAAUCGGAAUUACUGGGCGUAAAGCGCGCGUAGGCGGUCUGAUAAGCCGGUUGUGAAAGCCCCGGGCUCAACCUGGGAACGGCAUCCGGAACUGUCAGGCUAGAGUGCAGGAGAGGAAGGUAGAAUUCCCGGUGUAGCGGUGAAAUGCGUAGAGAUCGGGAGGAAUACCAGUGGCAAAGGCGGCCUUCUGGACUGACACUGACGCUGAGGUGCGAAAGCGUGGGUAGCAAACAGGAUUAGAUACCCGAGUAGUC